UUGGGAUAAGCCUGGGAAACUGGGUCUAAUACCGAAUAUGACCNCGCUCUUCAUGGGGUGUGGUGGAAAGCUUNUGCGGUGUGGGAUGGGCCCGCGGCCUAUCAGCUUGUUGGUGGGGUAAUGNCCUACCAAGGCGACGACGGGUAGCCGGCCUGAGAGGGUGACCGGCCACACUGGGACUGAGAUACGGCCCAGACUCCUACGGGAGGCAGCAGUGGGGAAUAUUGCACAAUGGGCGCAAGCCUGAUGCAGCGACGCCGCGUGAGGGAUGACGGCCUUCGGGUUGUAAACCUCUUUCAAUAGGGACGAAGCGCAAGUGACGGUACCUAUAGAAGAAGGACCGGCCAACUACGUGCCAGCAGCCGCGGUAAUACGUAGGGUCCGAGCGUUGUCCGGAAUUACUGGGCGUAAAGAGCUCGUAGGUGGUUUGUCGCGUUGUUCGUGAAAACUCACAGCUUAACUGUGGGCGUGCGGGCGAUACGGGCAGACUAGAGUACUGCAGGGGAGACUGGAAUUCCUGGUGUAGCGGUGGAAUGCGCAGAUAUCAGGAGGAACACCGGUGGCGAAGGCGGGUCUCUGGGCAGUAACUGACGCUGAGGAGCGAAAGCGUGGGGAGCGAACAGGAUUAGAUACCCUGGUAGUCCACGCCGUAAACGGUGGGUACUAGGUGUGGGUUUCCUUCCUUGGGAUCCGUGCCGUAGCUAACGCAUUAAGUACCCC
This 720-nucleotide ribosomal RNA is filed under the name bacterium. Its description in RNAcentral is "bacterial SSU rRNA". It matches the Rfam family "Bacterial small subunit ribosomal RNA", at positions 138 to 870 of the family's 1533-position model. The record is from RNAcentral.